AUUGGUUAUGUAUAUUUAAUUACUUUAUUCAAUUAUUUAUUUUAAAACCUAUUCAAAUAAAAAUUAAUAUUUAAUUUAAUUUCUUCUUUAAAUAUUUCAUUAAUUAAUUAUCUUAAUUGGUUAUGUACAUUGUUUAUUUAAUAUUUCUUUACUUUAAUUAAUUAUUUAUUUAAUCACUUAUUCGAAUACAAAAUUAAUACUAAAUUUAAUUUAUUCUUCAAAUAUCUCAUUAAUUAAUUAUCUUAAUUGGUUACAUAUAUUAUUUAUUUAAUAUUUAACUAGAACAUAAAUUACAUGAUGCAUGAGAAUAUCUAACAGAGAUGGAAGUCGAAUAUUAGGCACGAUCACAUUUUCAAAACAUCGAACAUUAUUCAAGAAUGUCGAAAAUAUAUUUCUUCUACUAAAUGAAGUCAAGUGGGAAGUUUUCGAUUAUAGUAUGUUACUCUCUACCCAACGGAUGUGUAGUAUCUAUUUAAACCGUAUGUACUCUCUAUUUAUAGUAUAUUAUUGGUUUCCUCAAUUUUCUCUAUUUAUAGUAUGUUAUUGAUUACGUGAAAAUUGACCCGAUGAAUAUGUAAUAUCUACUUAAAUUGUAUGUACUCUCUAUUUAUAAUAUGUCAC
This 621-nucleotide long non-coding RNA is filed under the name Olea europaea subsp. europaea. The record is from RNAcentral. Lineage: Eukaryota; Viridiplantae; Streptophyta; Magnoliopsida; Lamiales; Oleaceae.